This 253-nucleotide ribosomal RNA is filed under the name uncultured bacterium. RNAcentral's name for it is "partial 16S ribosomal RNA". It matches the Rfam family "Bacterial small subunit ribosomal RNA", at positions 524 to 776 of the family's 1533-position model. The record is from RNAcentral.
UACAGGGGGUGCAAACGUUGCUCGGAAUUAUUGGGCGUAAAGCGCGCGUAGGCGGCUACUUAAGUCGGAUGUGAAAGCCCCUGGCUCAACUGGGGAAGUGCACCCGAAACUGAAUGGCUUGAGUGCGAAAGAGGGUCGCGGAAUUCCCAGUGUAGCGGUGAAAUGCGUAGAUAUUGGGAGGAACACCGGUGGCGAAGGCGGCUACCUGGACCGGUUCUGACGCUGAUGCGCGAAAGCGUGGGUAGCAAACAGG